UACGUAGGGGGCUAGCGUUGUCCGGAAUCAUUGGGCGUAAAGCGCGUGUAGGCGGUCCGGUAAGUCCGCUGUGAAAGUCCAGGGCUCAACCCUGGGAUGCCGGUCGAUACUGCCGGACUAGAGUUCGGAAGAGGCGAGUGGAAUUCCCGGUGUAGCGGUGAAAUGCGCAGAUAUCGGGAGGAACCCCAGUGGCGAAGGCGACUACCUGGCCUGUUUCUUGACGCUGAGGCGCGAAAGCUAGGGGAGCAAACGGG
RNAcentral lists this ribosomal RNA (254 nucleotides) under uncultured bacterium. RNAcentral's name for it is "partial 16S ribosomal RNA". It matches the Rfam family "Bacterial small subunit ribosomal RNA", at positions 524 to 776 of the family's 1533-position model. The record is from RNAcentral.